GCCACAGUCGUCUAGGGGUCAGGACACUAGUUUGUGGAGUUUACAACACCGCGAACCACUGGAAACCGAGGUUCGAGUCCUCGCUGCGGCA
This is a transfer RNA of Beauveria bassiana ARSEF 2860, 91 nucleotides long. It matches the Rfam family "tRNA". Rfam says of the family: Transfer RNA (tRNA) molecules are approximately 80 nucleotides in length. Their secondary structure includes four short double-helical elements and three loops (D, anti-codon, and T loops). The record is from Rfam. Lineage: Eukaryota; Fungi; Ascomycota; Sordariomycetes; Hypocreales; Cordycipitaceae.